AUGUUCUUGCUCACCUUCACUGACUCGUCCUGGUUUAUUAUCCCACACAAAACUACAGGGGGUCAAGGGGGGCAUUAUUUCAAACAGGCGGACGACUUCGUCGCGAAUUACAGUAAACCAAGUGCACGAUUCGCCGUGUUGCCUCGACUUCAUAAAUAUCGCUGUUCUCACGACUUCGCUAAGAAACUUCAACGAAGUUCCGGAGGCGCGCGCGUGCGCGGCGGCAGCGCUGACACGUCGCGCGCUCGGAGCCCGUGUGUGUGCUCAGCGCGAGACUCCAUUUGGGAAACUUGCACACAGCACAAAACGCGCCAGAAAACGGCAAAUAUCCCCACAAAAACGAUUUUCGAAGCUCGAGACUACGGAGGCCACGGUCAGCCAGAGAGCUGCGGAUCCGCUUCUUAUUUUUUAACGAGUCCACAGGCCGUCUCCGGGUCCAGGGAAAGUCCACGUAGACAGAAGGGGCAGGAGGAUGAGCGGUCUGGAGGAAUCGACAUGGAGUCCAGCUUGUGUUCUAGGGCGAAAAACCCGCCAGGUACUUACUUCUGUUGGUGUUCCCGUCUGCCCGAGAUGGUGCAGAAGCUUGACAACGUAACUCCAGGAGUGAAGAGCGUUGCCCACGAGCCUGCAGUAUUUAUAGUGACACCAGCUGGCCAAUGGCGCGUUGCCACGUCACAGCCUCGACUUCGCUUCCAGGAAGAGCUUGGAACGGUCGUGAAAGAGUGCAACGCAUGCAGCGCACGUACCUGCGCGCAAACGGUGGCGGUAGUGCGCGAGGGAAGCGUGUGCACUCUGAUGUUUUACAUUCCGUUAUUUUCACACAGCGCAACGCGCCCCGUGCUCGUGGUGAUAUGCAGAAUCUGUCGAAGUAAUUUUUUUAAAUUCUAUUAACUAAAUACUCGUAGACCAAAAUUGAUUAUAUUCAAGAGAAAUCGUCCAGCCCAUUUUAAUUAUUACCUGCAGCGCAUAAUACAGUUUAUUGCAGUGGCGAAAUGAACCAUUUUUUUUUGAUCACGUGAUGAUAUCAUUCUGUUUAAUUUUACUGUCACAUCAUUGUAAUAAACUGUAGCGCGUAUGCGUGCA
RNAcentral lists this long non-coding RNA (1083 nucleotides) under Scleropages formosus (Asian bonytongue). Its description in RNAcentral is "lncRNA (ENSSFOG00015032154.1)". The record is from RNAcentral. Lineage: Eukaryota; Metazoa; Chordata; Actinopteri; Osteoglossiformes; Osteoglossidae.